Molecule: long non-coding RNA, 6571 nt
Filed under: Triticum aestivum (bread wheat)
Lineage: Eukaryota; Viridiplantae; Streptophyta; Magnoliopsida; Poales; Poaceae
Description: long non-coding RNA (TAES_LNC016396)
Source: RNAcentral
GUGAGGGAGUCCUGGACUAGGGGGUGUCCGGACAGCCGGACUAUCAAUAUCCGCCGGACUCCCAGACUACGAAGAUAGAAGAUUGAAGACUCCGGCUCGUGUCCGGAAGGUACUUUACUUGGCGUGGAAGGCAAGCUUGGCAAUACGGAUAUGUAGAUCUCCUACCAUUGUAACCGACUCUGUGUAACCCUAGCCUCUCCGGUGUCUAUAUAAACCGGAGGGCCGUAGUCCGUAGGACACAACAUUACAUCUCAACAAUCAUACCAUAGGCUAGCUUUUAGGGUUUAGCCUCAUUGAUCUCGUGGUAGAUCUACUCUUGUACUACCCAUAUCAUCAAUAUUAAUCAAGCAGGACGUAGGGUAUUACCUCCAUCGAGAGGGCCUGAACCUGGGUAAAAACAUUGUGUCCCUCGUCUCCUGUUACCAUCCGCCUAGACGCACAGUUCGGGACCCCCUACCCGAGAUCCGUCGGUUUUGACACCGACAUUGGUGCUUUCAUUGAGAGUCAGCGCGGAGAGUCAGCACGGAAAUUCUGGAACAAGUUCCUCACCAAAAAGAACCAAAUAGUCGACUGUCCGGACGCCGAAGCCUUAGCAGCUUUCAAGCACAAUGUCCGAGACGAAUGGCUUGCCAGACACCUCGGUCAAGAAAAACCGAGGACAAUGACCGCAUUAACAAGCCUCAUGACCCGCUUUUGCGCAGGAGAGGACAGCUGGUUGGCAAGAAGCAGCACCAGCGACCCAAGUACAUCCGAGAUAAGAGAUGGAAACAGAAAAUCAUGGCGCAGAAAAGAUCAGCGCCGGAAUAAAGAGAAAAGCCCAAAGAGCACGGCAGUUAACGCCGGAUUUAAAAGCUCACGGCCGAAUAAUAAAGCUCAACCCAUCAAGGACGACAGCGACGAACUGUCUAACCUACACAAAAUCCUGGGUCGGAUCUGUCAAAUCCACAGUACCCCCGGAAGGCCUGCAAAUCACACCCACUGAGAUUGUUGGGUUUUCAAACAGUCCGGCCGAUUAAACGCCGAACGCAAGGGGCUCGACGCGUCAAGCGAAGAAGAUAAACCCCGCCAGCAGGACACCGGAAAACAAAAGACUUUCCCACAAGGGGUCAAAGCAGUAAACUCACUUCAUGUGAGGAUACGGAGAAACAGUGCGGCACUUUCUAAAAAGAGCUUCGCACGAUCCGGCCCCGCAAACCAUAGAGAUUGGAUAUCAAAACCAAUCACUUUCGACCACCGGGAUUAUUCCAAAAGUGUUCGAACCGCGGGACGGACUCCCCUGAUAUUGAAUCCGAUAAUAGACGGACUACAAUUCACAAACGUCCUAAUGGACGGAGGCAGUGACUUAAACCUGCUAUAUUCAAAUACAAUCCGUCGGAUGGGGAUAGACCCUACCAAAAUUCGACACAGCCGCACUUCCUUCAAAGGAGUUACGCCCGGCCCUUACGCCAGGUGCACAGGCUCGAUAUUACUCGAAGUCGUGUUCGGAUCACCGAACAAUCUCCGAUGAGAAAAGUUAAUUUUCCAUAUCGUGCCAUUUAAAAGUGAACAUCAAGCACUAUUAGGACGAAAGGCUUUUGUCCGCUUCAAUGCCAUACCGCAUUACGCAUCUCUUACACUUAAGAUGCCCGGUCCACACAGCACUAUUUCAGUGCGAGGGUCACUUAAAGCCCCCGGACUCGGAUAGACGAAUCCGGACUCAGCAGGCUAGGGGCUCCCUAGCCGCAUACCCUUUCACAAGGGGCUGCGCGCACAAUUAAUAUCGGUUUCAUAUAAACCUACCCUUAAUUAUUUACGCUUAUUCUUUUGCAUUAUUCUCGCACGAACUGUUUUUGAAAUGUUCCUCUCUUUUCUACAGAUGAGCAUCGUGCGUACCCGUCCAGGAUAACGGCACAACGGAGACACAGGCGCAGACAUGCAGUAGGGACCCGUCGCAAGGAUUCUUUUCAGAUUAAGACCCUACGUAGACCUUUUUAUUACUGUCUCUUGUUGCUAAAUCGGCCUCGACUUCUUCCUAUAGCCGAGGCGGAGCCUGAUGCUUUGGCAUUGGCCGCGUCAGAAGACAACGCCCGUACCUGGACACAAGGGGCUUAGGGUAUAAUUCUGCCCGUUAUCAUAAAGUCCGAACACCUCAGGGAGUGUUCGGCGUCUCAAGUUGGGCACUAUAUGCAUCAGCUCCGAAUCAUGUCUUUGGUCAAAUGUUGGGUUUGCCCGGCUCCUGUGUUUUGCUGCCUUAUGUUCCGUAUCACCCGGCUAACGCGGCACCAGGAGAACUACUGCGAUUGUGCCCCAGUUCGGCUGGGUGAGCACCUCAGUAGAGAAAGCUGAAAACUGACUGUCAUGAUAUAGCGAGAGUCUGGUCAGCCACUUGAUUGACUACGGAAUGUUUAGAAUUCCCUGCUUUGACGAAGGGCCGCUUCCCGGUCAGGCACAUACGCACCCCGAAUCCGGAGAUGUGCGGUGCCAUUAGGGGCUAUGUCGUAGCCCCACCCUCGAGCUCCAUUGGCUAAGUGAAAGAGAUAAAGCAUUAUAGUCCGGAUUGCCUCGUUCGCUACGCUACCACCUCCUUAUAACAGGACCGAGACGUCGGAUUAAAGUGUGAAAAAGCGCUAUUUUGCGAACACCCCAGCACCUUGUGCAUGGGGGCUGAAGCCGAAGACUGCAUCUUUCAGGUUAUACACAAGUAUACUUAAAACGGCCGCAAGGAGAAGUACUAUUACUUGGAAGCACAAGUAUAAAAAGCAUUCAUACUAUAAUCAUUCAUAAACAAGUUAAUGCGUUCAAUUGAACGUUACAUUCUUCGAGCACUGCGACUCUAUUACACGAGCGCCGCGCAUAACUUCCCCGAAAUAAUGUUCGGCAGGAAGCCGGUUCCCAUCCGAACCCUGGGCAGCAAUAGCGGUGGCAUCCAUCUCCGGACACUGCGCCUUUACACGGGCCAGAGCCAUCCACGCGCCCUCGAUGCAGGCCGACCGCUUCAUCUCCUUGAUAUGCGGCACCGCCCCAAGGAACUGCUGCAGUAGGCCAAAAUAGCUCGUCGCCUUGGACCUCUCUGGCCACACAUGGGCCACGAUGUCAGUCAUAGCCAGCCCGGACAGUCUAUUCAGUUCGGCCCAUUCGGCCAACCUGUCCGACAGCGGAAGAGGGCGAUCCGGACUGUGGAAUUGAGUCCAAUAUAGCUCUUCCACCUCGUGAUCCCCCUGGCUCCGAAAGUGCUUAACGGCGUCAGCCGCACUCGCAGCCAAGUCCAUGUAAGGAUCCUCUGAACUCCACUGCUUUUCAAAUUGGGCAUACUUGGCAUCCAUAAACCGGCGACGCAUAAGAAACGGCCUGCCAGCCGUGAUUUCUCCGGCUUGGCGCAGCUCCUCCUUCAUAGCCCGCAUUGCAGAGCGGGCAUCCUUGGUCUCGGCGGUGGCCUUCUUCAGGUCUUCCCGCUCCAAUAGGCGCUCCUUUUCAAGAGCCUCGCUACGGUCGGUAGCAUCCUUUAAUUUCUUGGCCAAUCCGGCCACCUCCGCCCUGCUUAGGCAGUGCGCAGCCUUUUCGGCCUUCAACUCCUCGGCCGCCCUCGCGGCAGCCGCAUCACUCCUUCGGGCUUAUCAGAGGAGGGCUUUAACCCACUCGAUAAAACAGCUAUGGAGAUUUUGUUUACCUUGCGACUCGUCAAGUCGCUGAUUGACAAGUGCUAUGUCAGCAUCUGCCAUGUCCAGUUGCCGACUCAGUUCGGCAAACUGACCAGUCCGGCUGGCCCCCGGACUAUCCGCCACCUGUAUUAGAACGGCGAUAUUUAUUACCUGAGAUAUUUAGAUUUUCGAUCCUCGGCACGCUGUCGUCUUCGACAACCUACCGAGUCUCAGGGGCUACUAUCUAUACAGGGCGCAUCUUUUAUAUGCUCAACUGUUAAAAAGCAAAGGGGUACGCUAUUUUCGCAUACCUCAAAUCCCGCCAGCAAGCUCAUGGCAGCAUCGCGCAAUCCGCUUUCGGCGGACGAAAUCCUUCCAACCACCGCACGCAUUAACGCGCGGUGAUCUUCUGAAAUGGACGCCCUCUCAAGCAAAUUCUUCAGUUCUCCCGACUGGGCUCUGGUGGGUGUUGAACUCUUCGACCCCUCCGGACUCGGGGACGCCCUCCGUGAUGACACUUCGGGCUCGCCUGCCUCAUAUGGCGGCGCGUCGGACAGAGGCGUAUCGCUCUCCAUCAUCUCCGGAAGAAGAUCCCCCGAGGACGAACUCAUCUGAGACGGCUGCAGAUCCGAACUGCGAUAUAAAUAUUUCGGUUACCUGCAGAAGCAUAAAACGAAGGUACUUUCUUAUUAAACUUCCUCUUUCAUACUCAUGGCUCGUUGGAGGGCUGGUCCUUGGGCAAUGAUUGCGCGUCCGGAUUCUCUCCGGACGCCGGACCCCCCGGUGAGGAUUUCUUCCCACGCUUGGGGGCUUUGACCUCCGGAUCUUCGGGGGCGGUCCUCUUUUCCCUCUGAAGGGAGGGAUCCUUGGUCCUCUCCUCUUCAGUCGCCUCUUUGGACGAAGUAUCUGCUCCUUUAUCUCCCCCAUCGCCCCCUUCUGUGGGUGCGGCCUCCAACAUUCUGACCAGCACGGGCUCCAGUGCAGUCUCUGGGAGGGGGGCCGGACACCUUAUCAGCCUUGAUCGCGCCACCCAUUCCUGUAAAGAAUAAAAAGGGUUAGGAGAUGAUCUUUUGAAAGGCAUACAAGCAGGAUGUCCGGGCUCUGAGCUAUUUACCUGAGUAUCCGGACGAUCGCGGCUUAGUCCCGCAUCCUCGGCCGAAUCCGGACACGCCACUUGCGGUCCGAAGAACAGCUCGUACAUCUCCAGGGGUGUCGCCCCCAUGAAAUGCUGGAGGAUACGAGGUCCCUCCGGAUUGAACUCCCAUAAACGGAGAGCAACGUUUGCAGGGUAGGAGGUGCCUAGUCAGCAUAACCUGCAUCACCUUGACCAGAUCAAUCUCCCUUGUUUGGAGGUCCCGAAUCCGGCCCUGCAGUGCGGGCACGUCCUUGGACGGCCCCCAGUUGAGCCCUUGGUUGACCCACGCCAUCAGUUGCUGUGGAGGUCCCGGGAGGAAGGAGGGCGGCGGCUUUUGCUUGCUGCCCCUUGGAGCGGUGAUGUAAAACCACUCCUGCUGCCACAAUCCCUGUUCCUCUUGGAAGGAACCUUCGAGCCACGGGGCAUCGACCAUCUUGCUUAUGGUCGCCCCGCCACACUCCGCUCGACGCCCCCGAUCAUCUUCGGCUCCACCUUGAAUGUUUUCAGCCACAGGCCGAAGUGGGGGGUGACACGGAGGAAGGCUUCGCAGACAAUAAUGAAUGCGGAGAUAUGGAGGAUGGACUCCGGAGCCAAGUCGUGGAAGUCCAGCCCGUAGAAGAACAUAAGCCCCCUCACGAAAGGAUCCGUCGGGAAGCCUAAUCCCCGACAGAGGUGGGAUGCGAAAAUGACACAUUCGCCGGGCUCGGGGGCUGGCACGGCCUGCCCAGGGGCAGGCAACCUGUGCGAGACUUCGUAGGCCAGGUACUUGGCCUCACGCAACUUCAAUAUGUCCUCCUCUGUGACGGAGGAGGGCACCCACCGGCCCUGGAGGUCGGAGCCGGACAUUGCUGUGGAUCCGAAGCGCUCGAGUCUGAAGCUCUCGGUGUUGGAAUUGGGAGCAGAAGAGAGAUUCGAUGCGAGGUUAAGAGACAAGGACAGGCCUUGGUCCUCUUAUAAAGGGGAAAUAAUACCAAGGGCCGUCUCCGUGACCGUUUGAGAUUUCCCUUCGGUAGAGGAGGCGUGGCGACGGGAGCGGUUGGGUUACCCACGCACGUAUUGAUGAGAAUCCCGAAAAGAGGGGAACACGAUCUCUGCUUCGACAGGACGUGCCAAGGAAGCCGCUUCGCUAAACAUGCUAAGGUGGAAUAGUAAAAACAAUUAAAACGAAGGCUUGGCUGCGGUGUGAUGUCAUGCCACAUAAUACGUCAGCAGAUUGGAUCGGUGUAUGUGUUUUAUUCUCUCUACGUUGGAGUGUGGAAAUUAUUUUGCAGAGCCGGACACUAUCCUGGUGUUCAAUCUUCUCUGGAUUAUUCAAGGGAGGAACCCGCCUUGCAAUGCCGAACAUUAUGCACGCCGGACUUAUUGUCAUUGAAGACUGGUUCAGGGGCUACUGAGGGAGUCCUGGACUAGGGGGUGUCCGGACAGCCGGACUAUCAAUAUCCGCCGGACUCCCAGACUACGAAGAUAUAAGAUUGAAGACUUCGGCUCAUGUCCGGAAGGUACUUUGCUUGGCGUGGAAGGCAAGCUUGGCAAUACGGAUAUGUAGAUCUCCUACCAUUGUAACCGACUCUGUGUAACCCUAGCCUCUCCGGUGUCUAUAUAAACCGGAGGGCCGUAGUCCAUAGGACACAACAUUACAUCUCAACAAUCAUACCAUAGGCUAGCUUUUAGGGUUUAGCCUCAUUGAUCUCGUGGUAGAUCUACUCUUGUACUACCCAUAUCAUCAAUAUUAAUCAAGCAGGACGUAGGGUAUUACCUCCAUCGAGAGGGCCUGAACCUGGGUAAAAACAUUGUGUCCCUCGUCUCCUGUUACCAUCCG